UGCUUGGGAGGAUGCGCUCUGCCUCUUCCUCGCAAAGCAAAAGGAACAUGUGCAGUGCGGCGGACGGCUGCUGGGCAACGAUACCUGCACCUGGUGCUCUACCCAGCAUGGACCGUCAAGUUGCUGGGAUUGGUGGUGGGUGUUGGUCAUACCUUGGUAUAUAUGCUUGGCACUAUUUGGAGUCAAAAUUACGAACGUCCACUGCCGAUCUAUUUGGUAUUUUGGUGCAUGUCUUCCCCCGGCCCAGGUAAGAAGGUACUCCAAUUUUGAUGGUGCAAUUUUCUUUGUCUAUGACUUUUGGAUGCUCCCCAUUUAUCAGUAAUUAUAAUCAGGGAGUCCCAUCAUAGAUCCACUCUGCAAUACCAUGAAAUAUCUUUUAUGGACCUUACAGUUGUGUUGGUAAACUAAAUUGGGAACUCCCUACAAGUCAGAAGCUAAUCUUGUGUUAUGUGUUGUCAAUGUUCAGUUUCUGUACUGGUUUCUACAGUAAUUAGUCAUCUUAACUCAGGUGCAUUGCAAAGUGUUACGCUUAAUAUGACGAUUUCAUUAGUUUUCCAUUUUAAAUCGCUAAAAUGUGCUAUUUUAUUUUCAUCCUUCAAAUGUACAAGAUAGUAGAAUUGUGAUAAACCUCUUACUAGGCUCUAUUAAGAUGCAGCAACUACAUCAGUUUGUAUUUAAUACACAAACAUGGGUUUUGAGCUUUUGCCCCUACUGUGGCUGCACUUUCCUUCUUGUACUGCCAUGUAGCAGCAACAUCACAUUUUAUGUCAAGCAACCUACAAAAUGAUGCAACCAUUGGGCUAUAAAAUGAAGGAAUUGUAAAUGCAUUUUUUUCCCGUACAGCCGAAAGAAAAACGAUCCCAGCAUCAAAUGCAUUUUUUUUUCCAGAACAAAUGCCUGAAACAUUCUUUCCUGCUUAGGCCUGGCUGGCUCUGACCUGAUUAGUGGCUGGCCAUACCCUAUUCUGUUCACUCAGCAGUGUUGUCACUCAGUUUGACAGCCAUAGUCAAGACAAUCUUCCCAAGUAUGUCGAAGCAGAGCAGUGGCAGUCUG
Molecule: long non-coding RNA, 1053 nt
Filed under: Triticum aestivum (bread wheat)
Lineage: Eukaryota; Viridiplantae; Streptophyta; Magnoliopsida; Poales; Poaceae
Description: long non-coding RNA (TAES_LNC012385)
Source: RNAcentral